This 486-nucleotide ribosomal RNA is filed under the name uncultured bacterium. RNAcentral describes it as "partial 16S ribosomal RNA". It matches the Rfam family "Bacterial small subunit ribosomal RNA", at positions 28 to 507 of the family's 1533-position model. The record is from RNAcentral.
GAUGAACGCUGGCGGCGUGCCUAAUACAUGCAAGUCGAACGCUGGAGAUCUAGCUUGCUAGAUCGAAGGAGUGGCGAACGGGUGAGUAAUACAUAAGCAACCUACCCACGAAGACUGGGAUAAUCUCUGGAAACGGGGACUAAUACCGGAUAGGUAAUCGGAAGGCAUCUUCUGGUUAUUAAAGGUUAAAAACACUGGUGGAUGGGAUUAUGGCGCAUUAGUUAGUUGGUGAGGUAACGGCCCACCAAGACGAUGAUGCGUAGCCGGCCUGAGAGGGUGAACGGCCACAUUGGGACUGAGACACGGCCCAGAGUCCUACGGGAGGCAGCAGUAGGGAAUUUUCGGCAAUGGGGGCAACCCUGACCGAGCAACGCCGCGUGAGUGAAGACGGCCUUCGGGUUGUAAAGCUCUGUUGUAAGGGAAGAACGGUAGAUAGAGAAUAUCUAAGUGACGGUACCUUACCAGAAAGCCACGGCUAACUACGUG